AUUGAACGCUGGCGGCAUGCCUUACACAUGCAAGUCGAACGGCGGCACGGGAGCUUGCUCCUGGUGGCGAGUGGCGAACGGGUGAGUAAUACAUCGGAACGUACCCUGAAGUGGGGGAUAACGUAGCGAAAGUUACGCUAAUACCGCAUAUUCUGUGAGCAGGAAAGAGGGGGAUCGCAAGACCUCUUGCUUUAGGAGCGGCCGAUGUCGGAUUAGCUAGUUGGUGAGGUAAAGGCUCACCAAGGCGACGAUCCGUAGCGGGUCUGAGAGGAUGAUCCGCCACACUGGGACUGAGACACGGCCCAGACUCCUACGGGAGGCAGCAGUGGGGAAUUUUGGACAAUGGGCGCAAGCCUGAUCCAGCCAUGCCGCGUGAGUGAAGAAGGCCUCGG
This 392-nucleotide ribosomal RNA is filed under the name uncultured bacterium. Its description in RNAcentral is "bacterial SSU rRNA". It matches the Rfam family "Bacterial small subunit ribosomal RNA", at positions 30 to 420 of the family's 1533-position model. The record is from RNAcentral.